GCUGGGCACAGUGGCCCAUGCCUGUAAUCCUAGCGACUCGGGAGAUUGAGACAGGAGGAUUGCAAGUUGAAAGCCAGCCUCAGCAACGGUGAGGUGCUUAGUAACUCAGUGAGACCCUGUCUCUA
Molecule: small RNA, 125 nt
Filed under: Marmota monax (woodchuck)
Lineage: Eukaryota; Metazoa; Chordata; Mammalia; Rodentia; Sciuridae
Source: RNAcentral